RNAcentral lists this ribosomal RNA (473 nucleotides) under uncultured organism. RNAcentral describes it as "partial 16S ribosomal RNA". It matches the Rfam family "Bacterial small subunit ribosomal RNA", at positions 335 to 799 of the family's 1533-position model. The record is from RNAcentral.
ACUCCUGCGGGAGGCAGCAGUGGGGAAUAUUGCACAAUGGGCGCAAGCCUGAUGCAGCCAUGCCGCGUGUAUGAAGAAGGCCUUCGGGUUGUAAAGUACUUUCAGCGGGGAGGAAGGCAAUACGGUUAAUAACCGUGUUGAUUGACGUUACCCGCAGAAGAAGCACCGGCUAACUCCGUGCCAGCAGCCGCGGUAAUACGGAGGGUGCAAGCGUUAAUCGGAAUUACUGGGCGUAAAGCGCACGCAGGCGGUCUGUCAAGUCGGAUGUGAAAUCCCCGGGCUCAACCUGGGAACUGCAUUCGAAACUGGCAGGCUUGAGUCUUGUAGAGGGGGGUAGAAUUCCAGGUGUAGCGGUGAAAUGCGUAGAGAUCUGGAGGAAUACCGGUGGCGAAGGCGGCCCCCUGGACAAAGACUGACGCUCAGGUGCGAAAGCGUGGGGAGCAAACAGGAUUAGAUACCCCUGUAGUCCCAUG